RNAcentral lists this ribosomal RNA (253 nucleotides) under uncultured bacterium. RNAcentral's name for it is "partial 16S ribosomal RNA". It matches the Rfam family "Bacterial small subunit ribosomal RNA", at positions 524 to 776 of the family's 1533-position model. The record is from RNAcentral.
UACGGAGGUGGCUCGCGUUACUCGGCAUUAUUGGGUGUAAAGGGCAAGUAGGCGGCAUAAUAAGUGGGGGGUGAAAUACUCCGGCUCAAUCGGAGAACAGCCUUCCAAACUGUUGUGCUUGAGUAUGACAGAGGAAAAUGGAAUUCUAGGUGUAAGGGUGAAAUCUGUAGAUAUCUAGAAGAACACCAGCUGCGAAGGCGAUUUUCUGGGUCAUUACUGACGCUAAAUUGCGAAAGCUAGGGGAGCAAACAGA